Molecule: non-coding RNA, 6695 nt
Organism: Myodes glareolus (Bank vole)
Lineage: Eukaryota; Metazoa; Chordata; Mammalia; Rodentia; Cricetidae
Source: RefSeq, a predicted model, not a curated record
CAGACACACAUGUGAGCAAAACAGUAAGGCACAUAAAGCAAAAAUAAUAGAUAAAUAAUUUUUAAAAAGAUUUAAAAGGGAAAAAAAUAAUGAUGAAAGAGUCGAGCAGGUUCCUUUGACUUUGGUUUAGUAGCACUAGAAAAGUCUAGAAGGUAAAAAUGAUAUCUACGCAGAACAUAUAAUCGGGGUCUUUUUCUUGAUACAGUGUACUCUUGGUGCGUGUGCCAGCUGUACACAAACCACUGUAAAAAUUCAAAUUUAGGUAAGAGUAGGUCUACUGACUUCAUUUUGUAAGACAAAUACGGCAACUUACGUGCUAUUAAAUAGUCUAGAGCUGAUGCCCAUGCUAGAAUGUUCUAGGGACGGACUUUAUGUAUCAGAACUCAAAUCAGAAGCUAAUAGGAAACCUUGAUAAUCCUUUGAGCUAUUUGCCUGGACUUUUGACUGUAUACCAUCAACAACAGCUCGGCGAAAUGUCAACGAGGAACUGUUGAGCUCAUGCAGAAUAACAGAAACCUUCAGACCAGCUCCCACAUGUUCCCGGUGGUAUGCCUGCAGACUAGCGGAAGUUUUUGAAGUGGCUCUUAAGUUUUCUUGUUUGGAAGGCAGCAUGUUUGACAAAAUAACUUUCUUCUACCUUUUCGAGCAUACUGGUUCAUAGUUCAUACUAACAAAAGGACAUGUAAGGAUGACAGAUAAGAAUGAAACAGAUGUGAAUCAGCCCCAAAGAUGUCAGUAUGGGAGAGCUGUCUCCAUUACUCAUGUGUCAUGUGGUGGCAUGGGCAGGGGAGAGAUGCCCUAAUCCCUUCCACUCCACCCCUUAUCCAUCAGUGCCUGAGACAGGUGGGAGAGUUGGCCCUGAGGUCAGAAGGGCAGAAGAGCUACCCCUGUCAGUCACCCUGCUACCCCCUGUCAGCUGUAACACUCGGGAGAGCAGGCCCUGCUCCUCACCUGGGCAGCACAGUAGAGCCAACCCUGUUGGUUGAGGCGUGGGUGAGCCAGCCCCGAAGUUGUGAGCUGUCCUCGUUAUUCUCCUGUCACGAGACAGCAUGGGAGGGAGGAAAUUCCUCCCCCUUGCCCAUCAAUGCUUGAGGCAGGUGGGAAAGCUGGCCCCAUCUGCCACCAGCUGCAACACUCGGGAGAGCAGGCUCUGUACCUUGCCCAGGCAACACGGAUCGGCAGAGGUGUGGGUGAACCAGGCCUGAUACUGUGAGCAUGGAGGAGCUGUCCCCAUUACUCACCUGUGGUGUGGCAGCAGGGGUAGGAGAGAGAUGUCCGCCCCCAUCAAUGCCUGAGCCAGGUGGGAGAGCGGAAGAGCUGCUCCUGCUCCUUGUCUGCUAUGGCCUCUGGGGGUGGGGGGAGCGGCCCCUGCCCCACGCCUGGACUACACAGUAGAGCUGUCCCUGACAGUGCAGGUGCAGACCUGACCCUGAGGGCAGGAGAGCUGGCCCCGCCCCUGCUCAUGGCUGCCAGGGGUGAACUCACCAGGGCAAUGCAGGAGAGCUCAUCCUAGUGGUAAGGACAAGGGAGAGCUGGCGGACUGACCAACCUUGCAACUACCCAGAGCCAAAACCAGGGUUAGGGUUGCCCCACCCCAACAUCUACCCCACCUGUGAUCUGCUGGAGCAUGUGAAGGGACCAGCCCUACAGACCCAAAGCUGCAGGAUCUCCACGACACAGGGCAACAGCAGGGUAAUCAAGAAGAGUUCCAGCGAGGGCCCAGCAUCAAAGGUGUAGCAGAAUCCAGAGGCCUUGAGCCAGGCCAAUGGCUCUUUGCAGUGAGCACUUGCAAGUAAAGACAUAUGGAUAAAUGGGUUUACUGCGUGACUCACUGUGUCACACUGCAGCCUCCAUGAUGAGAUCCAACACUGCAGUUUCCUAGCUCAUCACAUGGUGGCCUGAAUCAGGACACUGCAAUGGCGUGUUAUCCAACCGGCGGCCACGUCCAACCUGCCGCCACUUCCAACCUGCUGCCACAUCCAACAUGCCACCACCAUUCAACCUGACGCCACCCUCCAACCUGCUGCCACAUCCAACCUGCCACCACGUCUACCUGCCGCCACAUCCACCUGCCACCACAUCCAACCUGCUGCCACGUCCAACCUGCCGCCACGUCUACCUGCCGCCACAUCCACCUGCCGCCACAUCCAACCUGCCACUAUGUCCACCUGCUGCCACGUCCAACCUGCUGCCACAUCCAACAUGCCACCACCAUUCAACCUGAUGCCACCCUCCAACCUGCCUCCACAUCCAACCUACUGCUGUUCUGGCCUGAAAACAAACUUAUGUGCGCAUGACCGUUCUUUAACCAUUGCUCCCCCUAAAUGCUAUACAUGGAAGGCUACCAUCCACGGCCUCUACUUUGUACACAUCCAAAUACAGACUAGCACAACAUUUUUCUAACCGAAUACAAAUUCAUCAGCUUCUUCUGACUGCAGAGCUGCCCAGUAUAUUAGUUUCUGUCCUUGUUUCUGCGAUAAAAUGCCUGACUUUGGCUCACAGCUGAACAGAGAAGGAACAGAAGAGGAGUCCGAGGCAGCUGGUCGGUCAUGUGACAUCCACGGUCAGGAAGCGGUGAUAAAUGCUGGGGUUCUGUUAUUAUUUUAUCCAGGACCCCAGCCCAUGUACCAGUGCUACCGACAUUUAGGGUGGGUGGUCCCACCACAUUUAACUCUAUGUAGAAAUUCCCUCACAGACAAGCCCGGAGGUUGGUUGGUUUCCAUGGUGAUUCUGAAGCCCAUCAAGUUGACAAGAUUUACUGUCACACUUGAGUUGCAUCAUGUAUGGUUGACAAGGCUAAAUUUGGCCAGUGACAGACACUGCCCAUGUUUCUUACCCAGACAAUGUAAUGAUGAUCUAGAGCUAUUUGACAACACAACCCAAAGUGGAGAGACUUUAGGCUGCAUCUUAGCUGUACGAGUGAUGAUACCCAAUACCUUUCCCCAUGACAGCUAGAGUUGUUUCCGGGACCUUGGGAGGUAUGACAGAGGUCAAUUAUGUCUGAUCCUGGGAAUCCUAUUGCGAUCAGCCUUUAUUAUUAAACAGGAUUGCUUCCAGCCUCUGGUGGCCAUUAGACAGUGCAGCCAAUGAAGUGGGGGUACACACACACACACACACACACACACACACACACACACACACAACUUAGCUGCAAGCUUGUCUUCCAAAUGUAGGGCCAAAUAGUGUCCUCCAGACAGUUUUCUGUGUAUUUUGAGCACCCCUGCAUAUCCUUUGGAUGAUACAGUAAAGCAAGGCACUCCAGGAUGCUACCCAGGCAUGUCUCAGCCCUGUGCUUGUGGUAAGCAGCAGCCUUGAGGGGUGAGGCACUGUCUACGAAGAGCAGGCUUAUUUUCACCUGCUACGAAAGAGACAGGUUUGCAGAGCUCAGUGUUGCUAGGCUGUGCUGUGAACCUCUGCAUGAUUGAUAUGUAUCUGGACCUUUCUACAUGCCUCAGGGCUUGGGAGCCAGAGAAACCAAUGCAGACACACUCUUAUGGUGCCCACUGUGCCAUGAGUGAUAAGGGAUUUUAUGCCUGACCAAGAAUCUUGUUUCCUGCCUGCAUCCAUGAUACAUCCAGAUACUAAUUCAUCACUUUGUUUAUAAACUCAAAUCCUAGACCUUUAUCACAUAUUAUUUAUCUUUAUCGUAUAUUGUUCCAUCUGAAUUUCAUAUUUCUUAAUCUAAAUUUCAGCAUUUUAAACUUUCUUGGAACUUACCCAUUUCAUCCAUUCUUGACUUGGUUAAUCUUACUUUUUGUGGUUGAUUUUAUGAUUUCCUUUUUAUCUGCUUUGUUUUUCAGCAGGCAGUGAAGGCAGUGGAGGUUGCUGUGCAUUUUUCUAACAUAGAGGGUUUCUACCGCUGUGAAUAACAGGUUGCUGUGAAGACUCUAAUCACGGAGACUUGUACAAGGAAAACACUGAAUUGGGGUGGCUUAGUCUCGGAGGCUCGGUCUAUUAUCAUCAUGGUGCGAAGCAUGUGGCAUGCAGGCAGACCUGGUGCUGGUACAUCUUCAUCAGAAGGCAACAGGAAGUGGCCUGUGUAUCGCACUGAGCUUGAGCAAGGAGACCUCAAAGUCCACUCCCUCAGUGACACACUUCCUCAAACAAGGUCAUACCUACUCCAAUAAAGCACUACAUCUGAAUAGUGCCACUCCCUAUGAGCUUAUGGGGGCCAAUUACAUCCAAACCACCACAUCGUCUUCACUGCUGAAUCUCCCCCUUCCUGUUUUACCAUCUUCUGACAUUAUAUGGAGACUUUGCUCUCCAGCUUCUGCACUGAAUUCAUCUGCUUCUUCCUACCUCCUUUCAGCACUGGAUAUUUUUACCAGGAAAGUAAGAACAGGCUGCAGCUGCUCAGCUCCCGACGGGAGGAUGGGAAGUGGAAGCUGCUUCCAAAAGCAGGUUGGGCCCCAUCCCUAUCACUGACUAGUCCAGGAAACUGAGGCUUCAGGAACAGGUUGAUCAAGCCAUGGACCUUUCUCUAAAAUAGAUCAUACAGUAGGAUACAAGGCAAGUCUUCAUAGAUACAGGAAAUUAAAGUAAGUCCUUAAAUUAUAGUGGAUCACAAUGGAAUAAGCACUACAAGUGAGCAGCAAGAGAAAUUACCUGCACAAAGUCACAGGGUAAGAAAAACUUCCCAGAACUGAAUGAAAAUGAGAAAAGAACACGCCGAAAUUCUAUGGGCUACAGUGGGAAGUGCUGUCUACACAGGCUGUUGAGGGAGGAUUGUCAUCAGUGAUCUUACUCAACCAGGCACGAUGUGCCCACAGAUACAACAGUAGCAUGACUGUUAUGGGGGUGACCAAUCACUGAUUAUACUUCAGCCCCUCUCCACAGGAGGUCAUCCAUGCUUAGCCCUGUAAACCCGGUCAAGCGCAAGACUGUGCCCCAUUCGUGGAAUUUCUCAUUAUUUGGUGUAGAGUGUGUGUUCAUGUGUAGGUUUUCCUUGAAGUCCUUCAGGUAACUACCGUGUGCAGACCACAAAGACCCUGACAUAAAAUGACUGAUGCUAACUAGUGCCAGGGGCAGAGCGACAGCCAUGGGUCGACUCUUCUAAAUAUGGGAGAAGGCAUGAGUGUGUGAUAAAUUGCAAUGAGGAGGGAAGAUGUCACAGACUAAGGCAACUGCCCAUAAAAAGUAUUUACAGUGAGGAGACUUUGUAACUACAAACACACCUUAAUGCAUUUUGCUCAGUGUGCCUAAUAGGAACUUGUAUUUUGAACUAACUGGAAAUAAACGAUUAUUUUAAAAGGUGGCUGGCCCCUAAGUUGAAGGAUUUUCCCAAGCCCCAUCAUGAUGAAACCUGAUUUGAGUAAAUUCUACUUAAUUUCAGAAUUAAGACUAUUACUAACACAAAAUUAUAAAACAUAUUGGAAAGAAAGAGAGGGCAAAUUGAUAGGCAUGUUUAUUGCUAAAUCUAUAGUCAAGUUCCAUAAUUUAAAAUUAUUUAAAACAAAAGUAUAAAUAUCUAUAAAAAACACAGUACUUUAAAUUAAAAUCGUUUUUUAAAAACCUGUAGCAUGAUGGUUAUAAAAUAACAAUUAUGAGAAUGACACAUUUAUAAUUACAGAAAACAUUAGAAAUGAACACUAACGAAGUGUCUUGCUGCUGAUUUGGGGAAAAGGGUGGGGACAAAUAUUUUUUUAUGUGUAUUCACUAAAAGAUUUUCCACCGACAUUGCAAAUGCCCCUGCCCUUUGGCAUUUUGCUAUAAAACAUGAAUUUAGUCAAAGGAGAUAGAAUGAAUAAACCCCAAAGAUGGUGGGAGAGUAAGGUGUCCUACGCUCAGAUAUGAAGUGAACAAUUGCCAGGCACUAGCUACACAAGAACACUCCCUGCCUCCACAGACAUGAACACAAACCCACUUUAGUAAUCAAGAAGAAACAAUACAUGUUGUUCGUGGUUGAUCUCUCACCUGUCUAUGCUGACUUUGAAAUUCUUUCUUGGCCAUAAUGAAAUCUAGUUUGAAAAGAGAAUUUUCAUCGUAUGUGAACAGUUGAACAUGAUUAGUAUUUGUAGCUUAUACUCUAUUUUGGACUUCUGCUCUUUCCUUAAUGUUUGCAUACACCUAAAUUCUUUAAAAUGACAACAUUGAAAGUGAAUUUCUAAGAAGCUGUUUUCAGUUUAUAUGCCAUAGGAAUGGUGUUUACAUACUAUUUGGAAAGACUGCGUUACAUUACACAUGGCUACAGGCCACAUAUAGGUAUUAUCAAAUAUACAUUGGACUUAUAACAAAAAUAUUUUUCUACAUUUACAUUAUAUACGUUCAUAUUCUGAAAUUUUAGACUAGUAUGUUGAGGAAUUUAAUUAGUUAAAAAUGCCUCAAAUUUCCAUUUCAUUAUUCAACAAAACUCUGAAUACCUUUUAACUUAAUUCUAAUAAAAUAUUGUACCAUGUGAAGAGCCAAAAUAAUAAGGUCUAUCAGAUAAAUGUAUUUUUUCCACCAUAGUUCUUCCAGACUGGAAUAAUUAAUUACACAUGGCAAUAACAACUUUAUCAAGAGUUCUGCUAGUGAGGUCACUAGGUACAUAACAAAGUUAUCUCUUUAAAAGGCUCGAUGAAGGAAAUUGUCCUACAGACUAGGAUUCUACAUCCAGGGAAAUGUUCUUCAAAGUUGAUGGUAAUAUAAAUGAUUUUCAAGGAAAUAGCUGAACUUACUGAUCUCCAGUAGAUCUGAACCUUCAGAAAUAACAAAAA